Molecule: transfer RNA, 77 nt
Filed under: Salinibacter ruber M8
Lineage: Bacteria; Pseudomonadati; Rhodothermota; Rhodothermia; Rhodothermales; Salinibacteraceae
Source: RNAcentral
GGGUCGGGGCAGCCGGAUUUGAACCAGCGACCUCGUCGUCCCGAACGACGCGCGCUACCGGACUGCGCCAUGCCCCG